GUACACGCUGUGACUAGCAUAUCAAUAAGCGGAGGAAAAGAAACUAACAAGGAUUCCCCUAGUAACGGCGAGUGAAGCGGGAAGAGCUCAAAUUUGAAAUCUUAAAGGGUUUCCCUUUACGAAUUGUAGUUUAAAGAAGUGUUUUCCGUUGAGGUUUUGGUAAAAGUUCUUUGGAAUAGGACAUCAUAGAGGGUGAGAAUCCCGUAUUUGACCUUUACUUUCAACUUUGUGAUACACUUUCAAAGAGUCGGAUUGUUUGGGAAUGCAGUCCAAAAUGGGUGGUAAAUUUCAUCUAAAGCUAAAUAUUGGCGAGAGACCGAUAGCGAACAAGUACCGUGAGGGAAAGAUGAAAAGAACUUUGAAAAGAGAGUUAAACAGUACGUGAAAUUGUCAAAAGGGAAGCGUUUGACACCAGUGUUGUUUUUCUGAAAAUCAAUUAAAGAACUGUUUAUGCUAAGUUGUUUAGACUUUAUCAGCUAACUGUUUAGUUUUGAGCUUUUCUUUAAUGCACUUUUCAGUUAACAAGUCAACAUCAAUUUCUUUUGCUGUAAAAAAGCUUGAGGAAGGUGGCUUGAGAUUCGUCUUAAGUGUUUAUAGCCUCUUGCCUAUGCAGUCGGAGAGAUUGAGGUCUGCAGCGUAGAUCCUUCGGGGCUAAAUGCAUUUGUGCUAAGUUAUAACAUUUUAUAGACAACUUGUUGACUAUGAUUUGUCUUGUAGCUUACUCGCUUAUGUUAUUUUACCUACGCUUAGGAUGUUGAAGUCAUCGUAUCGCGC
Molecule: ribosomal RNA, 774 nt
Filed under: uncultured Neocallimastigales
Lineage: Eukaryota; Fungi; Neocallimastigomycota; Neocallimastigomycetes; Neocallimastigales
Description: partial large subunit ribosomal RNA
Rfam family: Eukaryotic large subunit ribosomal RNA
Source: RNAcentral